UGCAGUCGAGCGGAAUUUUAUUGGUGCUUGCACCUUUAAAAUUUUAGCGGCGGACGGGUGAGUAACACGUGGGUAACCUACCUUAUAGAUUGGGAUAACUCCGGGAAACCGGGGCUAAUACCGAAUAACACUUUUUAACACAUGUUUGAAAGUUGAAAGACGGUUUUGCUGUCACUAUAAGAUGGACCCGCGGCGCAUUAGCUAGUUGGUGAGGUAACGGCUCACCAAGGCAACGAUGCGUAGCCGACCUGAGAGGGUGAUCGGCCACACUGGGACUGAGACACGGCCCAGACUCCUACAGGAGGCAGCAGUAGGGAAUCUUCCACAAUGGACGAAAGUCUGAUGGAGCAACGCCGCGUGAGUGAAGAAGGAUUUCGGUUCGUAAAACUCUGUUGCAAGGGAAGAACAAGUAGCGUAGUAACUGGCGCUACCUUGACGGUACCUUGUUAGAAAGCCACGGCUAACUACGUGCCAGCAGCCGCGGUAAUACGUAGGUGGCAAGCGUUGUCCGGAAUUAUUGGGCGUAAAGCGCGCGCAGGUGGUUCCUUAAGUCUGAUGUGAAAGCCCCCGGCUCAACCGGGGAGGGUCAUUGGAAACUGGAGAACUUGAGUGCAGAAGAGGAUAGUGGAAUUCCAAGUGUAGCGAUGAAAUGCGUAGAGAUUUGGAGGAACACCAGUGGCGAAGGCGACUGUCUGGUCUGUAACUGACACUGAGGCGCGAAAGCGUGGGGAGCAAACAGGAUUAGAUACCCUGGUAGUCCACGCCGUAAACGAUGAGUGCUAAGUGUUGGGGGGUUUCCGCCCCUCAGUGCUGCAGCUAACGCAUUAAGCACUCCGCCUGGGGAGUACGGUCGCAAGACUGAAACUCAAAGGAAUUGACGGGGGCCCGCACAAUCGGUGGAGCAUGUGGUUUAAUUCGAAGCAACGCGAAGAACCUUACCAGGUCUUGACAUCCCGGUGACCACUAUGGAAACAUAGUUUCCCCUUCCGGGGCAACGCUUACGGGUGGUGCAUGGUUGUCUCCAGUCCGGUCGGAGAUGUUGGGUUAAGUCCCCCAACAAGCACAUCCUUAUUCUUAUUGCCAUCAUUCCUUGGGCAUCUAAGGAAACUGCCGGUAAAAACCGGAAGAAGGGGGGGAUGACUUCAAUCAUCAGGCCCUUUAGACUGGGCUACAACUGCUAAAUGGACGAACAACGGUUGCAACCCGGAGGGGAACUAUCCGAAAAACUUUUCCC
This 1234-nucleotide ribosomal RNA is filed under the name Solibacillus silvestris. Its description in RNAcentral is "bacterial SSU rRNA". It matches the Rfam family "Bacterial small subunit ribosomal RNA", at positions 56 to 1288 of the family's 1533-position model. Lineage: Bacteria; Bacillati; Bacillota; Bacilli; Caryophanales; Caryophanaceae. The record is from RNAcentral.